This 841-nucleotide ribosomal RNA is filed under the name Weissella cibaria. RNAcentral's name for it is "bacterial SSU rRNA". It matches the Rfam family "Bacterial small subunit ribosomal RNA", at positions 49 to 842 of the family's 1533-position model. Lineage: Bacteria; Bacillati; Bacillota; Bacilli; Lactobacillales; Lactobacillaceae. The record is from RNAcentral.
UAAUACAUGCACGUCGAACGCUUUGUGGUUCAACUGAUUUGAAGAGCUUGCUCAGAUAUGACGAUGGACAUUGCAAAGAGUGGCGAACGGGUGAGUAACACGUGGGAAACCUACCUCUUAGCAGGGGAUAACAUUUGGAAACAGAUGCUAAUACCGUAUAACAAUAGCAACCGCAUGGUUGCUACUUAAAAGAUGGUUCUGCUAUCACUAAGAGAUGGUCCCGCGGUGCAUUAGUUAGUUGGUGAGGUAAUGGCUCACCAAGACGAUGAUGCAUAGCCGAGUUGAGAGACUGAUCGGCCACAAUGGGACUGAGACACGGCCCAUACUCCUACGGGAGGCAGCAGUAGGGAAUCUUCCACAAUGGGCGAAAGCCUGAUGGAGCAACGCCGCGUGUGUGAUGAAGGGUUUCGGCUCGUAAAACACUGUUGUAAGAGAAGAAUGACAUUGAGAGUAACUGUUCAAUGUGUGACGGUAUCUUACCAGAAAGGAACGGCUAAAUACGUGCCAGCAGCCGCGGUAAUACGUAUGUUCCAAGCGUUAUCCGGAUUUAUUGGGCGUAAAGCGAGCGCAGACGGUUAUUUAAGUCUGAAGUGAAAGCCCUCAGCUCAACUGAGGAAUUGCUUUGGAAACUGGAUGACUUGAGUGCAGUAGAGGAAAGUGGAACUCCAUGUGUAGCGGUGAAAUGCGUAGAUAUAUGGAAGAACACCAGUGGCGAAGGCGGCUUUCUGGACUGUAACUGACGUUGAGGCUCGAAAGUGUGGGUAGCAAACAGGAUUAGAUACCCUGGUAGUCCACACCGUAAACGAUGAGUGCUAGGUGUUUGAGGGUUUCCGCCCCUUUA